GCAGCGUCGCCGUUUCUCCUUUCUUGGGCAGUAUUUUUCCCAGCGCCACGCGGAGGCUGGGCCAUUAUGAGGUUUGUCUCUGCAUUUCCAGGACCUGGUCACUAUUCAGGACACGGUUCCAGCGCAGUGCGCGUUAGCCAUGUCUCAGCUCCAGACUGAGAGGACGCAGCAUAGAAAAUGCUUAUGAGUGGUUCAGACUCAGUAAUGGGAUGAGUGACAUUCCAAGAUGUGGCCAUUGACUUCUCCAAGGAAGAGUGGGGAUUCCUGAACCCUGCUCAGAGAGAUUUGUACACAACUGUGAUGCUGGAGAAUUAUCAGAACCUGGUCUGGCUGGGACUUUCCAUUUCUAAAUCUGUGAUUUCACUGUUGGAGAAAAGGAAACUGCCUUGGAUAAUGGCAAAAGAAGAGAUAAGAGGCCCAUUGCCAGGUGAGUAUGAAGAACCAACUAGCGGGGGUAAGCCAUGUAUAUGAAAGGCAUACCAGGUCUAGAGGGCAAAGCACCUUUAAGAUGUGAAAGAUGCUCUCUUCCAAUGUUCCAUACGUAUGUAGAAAUUGAGGCUCCUUGAGUUUGAGUUCCUAAAAGGGUACUGAUCACCCACCAUUUAUAUCUGCUUUUAUAAAUGCCUGUGGGCUCAGAAAUUACAGGUGUGUCUUUCCUCUUUGUCUAUGGUAAGCUUCCUUUUAAAUUCAGGAUCCUGUUUCUCAUGACUUUUUUUUUAUUUGACUCUUUGAUAUUGUUUUCUUUACUGUAAGAUGACUUAUAUAGUGGUCUGAUUGUUUGAAUGGGUGUAUUCAUUGGUCAUUUAUUCAUUAACAUUAAUUCCAUUUUUAAAACUAGUCAACUGUUGAGAGUCCCCAAGACCACCCCCAGGUUCAAGGACUUACUAGGAGUCGUCACAGGAGUCAUCAUAUCAUUGUAUUCAUGCCUGCAAAGUUAGUGAAUAGUCCAGAAGAACACCAUCAUUCUGAUGCCAGCUGCAAAGUAUGGGGGUCCCCAAGACCACCCUGAAUUCUGACACGAAUUGCAAAUCCAAAGGUCCCCAAGAUGACCCUCAGGUUUGAUAAUUCACUAGAAG
RNAcentral lists this long non-coding RNA (1076 nucleotides) under Homo sapiens (human). RNAcentral's name for it is "non-protein coding lnc-ZNF583-4:11". The record is from RNAcentral. Lineage: Eukaryota; Metazoa; Chordata; Mammalia; Primates; Hominidae.